UACGUAGGGGGCUAGCGUUGCUCGGAAUCACUGGGCGUAAAGCGCACGUAGGCGGAUUGCUAAGUCAGGGGUGAAAUCCUGGAGCUCAACUCCAGAACUGCCUUUGAUACUGGCGAUCUCGAGUCCGGGAGAGGUGAGUGGAACUGCGAGUGUAGAGGUGAAAUUCGUAGAUAUUCGCAAGAACACCAGUGGCGAAGGCGGCUCACUGGCCCGGUACUGACGCUGAGGUGCGAAAGCGUGGGGAGCGAACAGG
RNAcentral lists this ribosomal RNA (253 nucleotides) under uncultured bacterium. Its description in RNAcentral is "partial 16S ribosomal RNA". It matches the Rfam family "Bacterial small subunit ribosomal RNA", at positions 524 to 776 of the family's 1533-position model. The record is from RNAcentral.